UACGGAGGGGGCUAGCGUUGUUCGGAAUUACUGGGCGUAAAGCGCGCGUAGGCGGACCUGCAAGUCGGGGGUGAAAGCCCGAGGCUCAACCUCGGAACUGCCUUCGAUACUGCGGGUCUCGAGUCCGGGAGAGGUGAGUGGAAUUCCUAGUGUAGAGGUGAAAUUCGUAGAUAUUAGGAAGAACACCAGUGGCGAAGGCGGCUGACUGGACUCAUAUUGACGCUGAGGCUCGAAAGCAUGGGGAGCAAACAGG
Molecule: ribosomal RNA, 253 nt
Filed under: uncultured bacterium
Lineage: Bacteria
Description: partial 16S ribosomal RNA
Rfam family: Bacterial small subunit ribosomal RNA
Source: RNAcentral